AUUGUCAAGCUGGGGAGCGGCAAUCAAGAUAUUACAUCUGAUUCAGAAGAGUAUCCUAUUUUGUUAUGCUGUGGGUUUAUCCCUCUCCAUUGGAGCAAUUCAAACCCAGAGCCAGCGGUGAUAGGGCUCUGGUCCAUGUGAGUUGACCCCCAGAUACACUUUAAUUUUGCAUACCCUGUAUGUACAGACAGUCUGCACUAUAUACUGUAUAUUUUUCAGAGUACGCAGAGAAGACCCUGAC
Pelobates cultripes (western spadefoot toad) is the source of this 241-nucleotide non-coding RNA. The record is from the annotation of a GenBank genome assembly. NCBI's taxonomy places the organism in Eukaryota, Metazoa, Chordata, Amphibia, Anura, Pelobatidae.